RNAcentral lists this ribosomal RNA (479 nucleotides) under uncultured bacterium. RNAcentral describes it as "bacterial SSU rRNA". It matches the Rfam family "Bacterial small subunit ribosomal RNA", at positions 327 to 793 of the family's 1533-position model. The record is from RNAcentral.
ACUCGUAGACUCCUACGGGAGGCAGCAGUGGGGAAUAUUGGACGAAGUGGGGGAACCCCUGAUCCAGCCAUGCCGCGUGUGUGAAGAAGGCCUUUAUGGUUGUAAAGCACUUUAAGCGAGGAGGAGGCUACUGAGACUAAUACUCUUGGAUAGUGGACGUUACUCGCAGAAUAAGCACCGGCUAACUCUGUGCCAGCAGCCGCGGGUAAUACAGAGGGUGCGAGCGUUAAUCGGAUUUACUGGGCGUAAAGCGUGCGUAGGCGGCUUUUUAAGUCGGAUGUGAAAUCCCCGAGCUUAACUUGGGAAUUGCAUUCGAUACUGGGAAGCUAGAGUAUGGGAGAGGAUGGUAGAAUUCCAGGUGUAGCGGUGAAAUGCGUAGAGAUCUGGAGGAAUACCGAUGGCGAAGGCAGCCAUCUGGCCUAAUACUGACGCUGAGGUACGAAAGCAUGGGGAGCAAACAGGAUUAGAUACCCUGGUAG